This 915-nucleotide ribosomal RNA is filed under the name uncultured bacterium. Its description in RNAcentral is "partial 16S ribosomal RNA". The record is from RNAcentral.
CCCGUCAAUUCCUUUGAGUUUUAACCUUGCGGCCGUACUCCCCAGGCGGUCGACUUAUCGCGUUAGAUGCGCCACUAAGAUCUCAAGGAUCCCAACGGCUAGUCGACAUCGUUUACGGCGUGGACUACCAGGGUAUCUAAUCCUGUUUGCUCCCCACGCUUUCGCACCUCAGUGUCAGUAUCAGUCCAGGUGGUCGCCUUCGCCACUGGUGUUCCUUCCUAUAUCUACGCAUUUCACCGCUACACAGGAAAUUCCACCACCCUCUACCGUACUCUAGCUCAGUAGUUUUGGAUGCAGUUCCCAGGUUGAGCCCGGGGAUUUCACAUCCAACUUGCUGAACCACCUACGCGCGCUUUACGCCCAGUAAUUCCGAUUAACGCUUGCACCCUUCGUAUUACCGCGGCUGCUGGCACGAAGUUAGCCGGUGCUUAUUCUGUUGGUAACGUCAAAACAGCAAGGUAUUAACUUACUGCCCUUCCUCCCAACUUAAAGUGCUUUACAAUCCGAAGACCUUCUUCACACACGCGGCAUGGCUGGAUCAGGCUUUCGCCCAUUGUCCAAUAUUCCCCACUGCUGCCUCCCGUAGGAGUCUGGACCGUGUCUCAGUUCCAGUGUGACUGAUCAUCCUCUCAGACCAGUUACGGAUCGUCGCCUUGGUAGGCCUUUACCCCACCAACUAGCUAAUCCGACCUAGGCUCAUCUGAUAGCGUGAGGUCCGAAGAUCCCCCACUUUCUCCCUCAGGACGUAUGCGGUAUUAGCGCCCGUUUCCGGACGUUAUCCCCCACUACCAGGCAGAUUCCUAGGCAUUACUCACCCGUCCGCCGCUGAAUCCAGGAGCAAGCUCCCUUCAUCCGCUCGACUUGCAUGUGUUAGGCCUGCCGCCAGCGUUCAAUCUGAGCCAGGAUCAAACCCUC